UAAAUAAAAAACUUAUACAAAAACACAACAAAUAUAAAAUCUGCUCAACAAAAAUACAGCUAAACGGUUCGUCAAAUCAAGCGGAUCACUGCAGUCAAAAUAAUCAGCAAUCUGAUGUAGCAAAAGCCAUUAUAAUAUACGAAAAUGCAACCAUUCCGUUCCGCGCCGUGCUAAUGCAAACGUAUACGAUCCGAAACCGAUAAAUAUAGAUAUACAUAAACCCAAGUGAAAUUGCAAUUUUACAGGCCACUAAAAACCAAAUAUACCAAUUACAUUGUCCAAGAGAACACCAAAGGAACUAUUUUUGGAGACAUCUGCUGGAAAGGCUUUAAGCCACCUAAAAACAGGAACCACGGU
Molecule: long non-coding RNA, 357 nt
Organism: Drosophila santomea
Lineage: Eukaryota; Metazoa; Arthropoda; Insecta; Diptera; Drosophilidae
Exons: 3
Source: RefSeq, a predicted model, not a curated record